CCGAGCAGCCGGGGUGGCAGCGGUACCCUGAACCAGCAAUCCGCUAUAGCUGGGGUGAUAUCAAACUGAGGGUUAUCUCUUUGCGGAGCAGCCCUUCAUAAGUGGCGUUGACGUUUGGGUCUUACGCAACAGGAAUUUACGAACCGGGUCAGGUCAGGAAUGGAGCAGCCCUAAGUAAAAGCUCUUGUGUGCCGUGAGGGUGCCUGGACCGAGUUAACUGUGGAGGUAACGUCCGUGGACUGGACUCGAAGGGCGAUGCUCGG
Molecule: non-coding RNA, 263 nt
Organism: Roseburia inulinivorans CAG:15
Lineage: Bacteria; Bacillati; Bacillota; Clostridia; Lachnospirales; Lachnospiraceae
Source: Rfam